CACUCGAUAACAGGGAUCAACGUUACAAAGCUCACUGGAGAGGGUUUCACUUUCACUCAAUGCUCCAAAAGGAGCUCUCAGAAAAUUAAUAUCUUUGCAAGGGAAAAUCUCUUCAAUCGCAGACUGGGAAAACUGCUGGUGAUGAUCAUAGUAAAGGCUUUUGAGAAGUUUCAUCCGCAAUGCAUCAUAGAAGAUAAUUCUUUCAAUUUUAUCAGUGCAUCGUGGGGUUUGCCUUCUUCAGCAGUGCAUCCUGUAGGGCAGAAUUAACAAGGAGCAACCAUAAUCAGAUGGCGUUUAGUUUAAGAGCAAGUUGAUGGUGACAGGAUGUGGCUCAACCUCCUCCAUUUGAUGAUUUAAUGAAAAUAAUUGGAGCCAUGGAGGAGAUGUGGCGAUGUAUCAGCUCGAGGUGUCUUCGGUCACUGUUGAGAUGAAUCCAGACCCUUUGGUGAACUGUGUGCUUUGCAUGGGGAGCAGAAAAAUAUUAAGGAAAUGAUGAUGUGUUCAAAGGCUUGAUUGCAUUGUGAAUGAUGAUGUGUGUCAUCCAUGACAACUGACUGUUGAAGAUCCAAAGGUUUUGUGAUCCAUGUCAACUGUCGAGGCCCCAAAGGUAUUAUUAUUCUUUAUACCCUUUGUGUUUAGUGAAGGAUCAGAAGCAGACACGUCUCUGUAAUAACUAGUUUUGUUAGGUAUUAGCUGAUUGUUUAAUGGAAGAUACAAGGAGAGAUGACUGGAGAUGUGUUCCAUCUCUGUUCAGAUAAGAAUUCUACUUUUGUGAGUAUAAUUGUGAAUAA
Molecule: long non-coding RNA, 791 nt
Organism: Zingiber officinale
Lineage: Eukaryota; Viridiplantae; Streptophyta; Magnoliopsida; Zingiberales; Zingiberaceae
Exons: 4
Source: RefSeq, a predicted model, not a curated record